Molecule: ribosomal RNA, 497 nt
Filed under: uncultured bacterium
Lineage: Bacteria
Description: partial 16S ribosomal RNA
Rfam family: Bacterial small subunit ribosomal RNA
Source: RNAcentral
GAUGAACGCUGGCGGCGUGCCUAAUACAUGCAAGUCGAGCGAACGGACGAGAAGCUUGCUUUUCUGAUGUUAGCGGCGGACGGGUGAGUAACACGUGGAUAACCUACCUAUAAGACUGGGAUAACUUCGGGAAACCGGAGCUAAUACCGGAUAAUAUUUUGAACCGCAUGGUUCAAAAGUGAAAGACGGUCUUGCUGUCACUUAUAGAUGGAUCCGCGCUGCAUUAGCUAGUUGGUAAGGUAACGGCUUACCAAGGCAACGAUGCAUAGCCGACCUGAGAGGGUGAUCGGCCACACUGGAACGGAGACACGGACCAGACGCCUACGGGAGGCAGCAGUAGGGAAUCUUCCGCAAUGGGCGAAAGCCUGACGGAGCAACGCCGCGUGAGUGAUGAAGGUCUUCGGAUCGUAAAACUCUGUUAUUAGGGAAGAACAUAUGUGUAAGUAACUGUGCACAUCGUGACGGUACCUAAUCAGAAAGCCACGGCUAACUACGUG